RNAcentral lists this ribosomal RNA (396 nucleotides) under uncultured bacterium. Its description in RNAcentral is "partial 16S ribosomal RNA". It matches the Rfam family "Bacterial small subunit ribosomal RNA", at positions 523 to 918 of the family's 1533-position model. The record is from RNAcentral.
AUACGUAGGUGACAAGCGUUAUCCGGAUUUACUGGGCGUAAAGGGCGUGUAGGCGGUCUUGCAAGUCAGAAGUGAAAUUCCUGAGCUCAACUCGGGCGCUGCUUCUGAAACUGCAGGACUUGAGUGCUGGAGGGGAUAGCGGAAUUCCUAGUGGAGCGGUAAAAUGCGCAGAUAUUAGGAAGAACACCGGUGGCGAAGGCGGCUAUCUGGACAGUAACUGACGCUGAGGCGCGAAAGCGUGGGGAGCAAACAGGAUUAGAUACCCUGGUAGUCCACGCUGUAAACGAUGAAUACUAGGUGUGGGGGGACUGACCCCCUCCGUGCCGCAGUUAACACAAUAAGUAUUCCACCUGGGGAGUACGAUCGCAAGAUUGAAACUCAAAUGAAUUGGCGGGG